Molecule: transfer RNA, 72 nt
Filed under: Penicillium paxilli ATCC 26601
Lineage: Eukaryota; Fungi; Ascomycota; Eurotiomycetes; Eurotiales; Aspergillaceae
Description: tRNA-Arg (CCT) (tRNA-Arg-CCT-1-1)
Rfam family: tRNA
About the family: Transfer RNA (tRNA) molecules are approximately 80 nucleotides in length. Their secondary structure includes four short double-helical elements and three loops (D, anti-codon, and T loops).
Source: RNAcentral
GGCUCUGUGGCCUAGGGGUAAGGCGUUCGUCUCCUAAACGAAAGAUCGAGAGUUCGAACCUCUCCAGAGUCG